CCUACGGGAGACAGCAGUGAGGAAUAUUGGGCAAUGGACGGAAGUCUGAACCAGCCAUGCCGCGUGCAGGAAGACGGCGCUAUGAGUGGUAAACUGCUUUUGUACAAGGGUAAACCUGAAUACGUGUAUUCCGCUGAAAGUACUGUACGAAUAAGGAUCGGCUAACUCCGUGCCAGCAGCCGCGGUAAUACGGAGGAUCCAAGCGUUAUCCGGAUUUAUUGGGGUUAAAGGGUGCGUAGGCGGGUUGGUAAGUUAGAGGUGAAAUGUCCGAGCUUAACUCGGGAACUGCCUCUGAUACUGUUGAUCUAGAGGGUAGGUGCGGUAGGCGGAAUGUAUGGUGUAGCGGUGAAAUGCUUAGAUAUCAUGCAGAACACCGAUUGCGAAGGCAGCUUACCAGUCUAUAUCUGACGUUGAGGCACGAAAGCGUGGGGAGCAAACAGGAUUAGAUACCCUAGUAGUC
RNAcentral lists this ribosomal RNA (460 nucleotides) under uncultured bacterium. RNAcentral describes it as "partial 16S ribosomal RNA". It matches the Rfam family "Bacterial small subunit ribosomal RNA", at positions 338 to 795 of the family's 1533-position model. The record is from RNAcentral.